GGGCCCGUGGUGUAGCCUGGUUUAACACGCCUGCCUGUCACGCAGGAGACCGAGGGUUCAAAUCCCUUCGGGCCCGCCA
This 79-nucleotide transfer RNA is filed under the name candidate division WOR-1 bacterium RIFOXYA2_FULL_41_14. RNAcentral describes it as "tRNA-Asp". It matches the Rfam family "tRNA". From Rfam's summary of the family: Transfer RNA (tRNA) molecules are approximately 80 nucleotides in length. Their secondary structure includes four short double-helical elements and three loops (D, anti-codon, and T loops). RNAcentral also lists the same sequence under 3 other names. The record is from RNAcentral. Lineage: Bacteria; Bacillati.